GGUCCUAAACUUGCCGCUGUUUUUAAUUAAAAUUACACAUGCUAGCAUCCGCACACCAGUGAAUACGCCCUAAAGUAGUAACGGAGCAGGUAUCAGGCACGCCCUUCAGCCCAAAACACCUAGCCACGCCACACCCCCACGGGAACUCAGCAGUGAUAGACAUUAGGCCAUGAGUAAACACCUAAUAAAGCUCGACCUAGUUAUAAUUAAACAGGGCCGGCCAAUCUCGUGCCAGCCGCCGCGGUUAUACGAGAGGCCCAAACCAGCACCCAACGGCGUAAAUUGUGACUAGAAUGACAAGCUAUCUCCAUAAAGGAAAAAACCAAAACCUAGCCGUAAAACCCAGGUAAAAUGAAUCUCCCUUACCCACAGCAAUUUGAACUCACGAAAGCUAAGAAACAAACUAGGAUUAGAUACCCUACUAUGCUUAGACAUAAACAAGACCUUAUCCAACGAAAGGUCCGCCCGAGAACUACAAGCGAAAAGCUUGAAACUCAAAAGACUUGGCGGUGCCCCACACCCGACUUAGAGGAGCCUGUCCUAUAAUCGAUAAUCCACGAUAAACCCAACCACCCUUUGCCCCACCAGCCUAUAUACCGCCGUCGCAAACCUACCUCACAAGAGAAAAGGCGUAGGUUAAACAGUUCAACACUAAAACGUCAGGUCAAGGUGUAGCUAAUAGGGCGGAAGAGAUGGGCUACAUUCUUUAAAGCUAAAGAACACGAAAAGAACUAUGAAACACCCUCCAAAAGGCGAAUUUAACAGUAAAACUGGCAAGAAAGCCAGCUUUAACCUCGCUCUGGGGCGCGCACACACCGCCCGUCACCCUCCU
This 832-nucleotide non-coding RNA is filed under the name Tropidurus torquatus. RNAcentral's name for it is "partial 12S small subunit ribosomal RNA". It matches the Rfam family "Bacterial small subunit ribosomal RNA". The record is from RNAcentral. Lineage: Eukaryota; Metazoa; Chordata; Lepidosauria; Squamata; Tropiduridae.